This 497-nucleotide ribosomal RNA is filed under the name uncultured bacterium. RNAcentral describes it as "partial 16S ribosomal RNA". It matches the Rfam family "Bacterial small subunit ribosomal RNA", at positions 28 to 507 of the family's 1533-position model. The record is from RNAcentral.
GAUGAACGCUGGCGGCGUGCCUAAUACAUGCAAGUCGAGCGAACAGACGAGGAGCUUGCUCCUCUGACGUUAGCGGCGGACGGGUGAGUAACACGUGGAUAACCUACCUAUAAGACUGGGAUAACUUCGGGAAACCGGAGCUAAUACCGGAUAAUAUAUUGAACCGCAUGGUUCAAUAGUGAAAGACGGUUUUGCUGUCACUUAUAGAUGGAUCCGCGCCGCAUUAGCUAGUUGGUAAGGUAACGGCUUACCAAGGCAACGAUGCGUAGCCGACCUGAGAGGGUGAUCGGCCACACUGGAACUGAGACAAGGUCCAGAAUCCUACGGGAGGAAGCAGUAGGGAAUCUUACGCAAAGGGCGAAAGCCUGACGGAGCAACGGCGCGUGGGUGAUGAAGGUCUUCGGAUCGUAAAACUCUGUUAUUAGGGAAGAACAAAUGUGUAAGUAACUAUGCACGUCUUGACGGUACCUAAUCAGAAAGCCACGGCUAACUACGUG